CUCCUACUUUACCCUGAGCUCAAUCAUGAUUGUAGCUACUAGGACACAAAGUGGAAAGCAACCAGUCCAGUUGGAUUGUUACUUAGUAACCUAUAGCCCCGCCCCUUUUCUGGGCCUUGCACACAUGGCCACCACACUCAGAGUUGCAUUACUCUCUAAUGCAGGGCAAGCUGUCUCAUGGCUAGGUGAGUACACAAUUAAGGUAAAU
This is a non-coding RNA of Pelobates cultripes (western spadefoot toad), 208 nucleotides long. Lineage: Eukaryota; Metazoa; Chordata; Amphibia; Anura; Pelobatidae. The record is from the annotation of a GenBank genome assembly.